GUCCACGCCCUAAAUGAUGUAAACUCGACAUUAGCGAUAUACAGUUAGUGUCCAAGCGAAAGCGUUAAGUUUACCACCUGGGAAGUACGACCGCAAGGUUGAAACUCAAAGGAAUUGGCGGGGUCCGCACAAGCGGUGGAGCAUGUGGUUUAAUUCGAUGAUACGCGAGGAACCUUACCUAGGCUAGAAUGUAGUUUGACCGAUCCUGAAAGGGGUCUUUGUAGCAAUACACAGAUUACAAGGUGCUGCAUGGUUGUCGU
This 260-nucleotide ribosomal RNA is filed under the name uncultured bacterium. RNAcentral describes it as "partial 16S ribosomal RNA". It matches the Rfam family "Bacterial small subunit ribosomal RNA", at positions 793 to 1055 of the family's 1533-position model. The record is from RNAcentral.